AUUCCAGCUCCAAUAGCGUAUAUUAAAGUUGUUGCAGUUAAAAAGCUCGUAGUUGAAUUUCUGUACAGUCCCGGUUCUGGCUUCGGUCAAGCCGUGGAUUGUGCAUCCGCUUGCAAAUCUAGCUCGGCCUUCACUGGUCGACUAGGGGAGUAAGCCCUUUACUUUGAAAAAAUUAGAGUGUUUCAGGCAGGCAAUGGCUCGAAUACAUUAGCAUGGAAUAAUGGAAUAGGACUUUUGUCCAUUUGGUUGGUUAUUGGACAUGAGUAAUGAUUAAAAGGGACAGUUGGGGGCAUUAGUAUUUAAUAGUCAGAGGUGAAAUUCUUGGAUUUAUUAAAGACUAACUUAUGCGAAAGCAUUUGCCAAGGAUGUUUUCAUCG
RNAcentral lists this ribosomal RNA (377 nucleotides) under Parauronema sp. Its description in RNAcentral is "partial small subunit ribosomal RNA". It matches the Rfam family "Eukaryotic small subunit ribosomal RNA", at positions 582 to 975 of the family's 1831-position model. The record is from RNAcentral. Lineage: Eukaryota; Ciliophora; Oligohymenophorea; Philasterida; Philasteridae.